This 1167-nucleotide ribosomal RNA is filed under the name Triticum aestivum (bread wheat). RNAcentral describes it as "partial small subunit ribosomal RNA". The record is from RNAcentral. Lineage: Eukaryota; Viridiplantae; Streptophyta; Magnoliopsida; Poales; Poaceae.
AUGGACACUGGGGAUCGCUUGGGGGACCUCACGGAUGACAUCCUCUGGCAUGUGCUCUCCUUUCUAUCGGCCAACGAGGCCCUGCAUACCUGCGUGUUGGACACCCGGUGGCGUGAUCUCUGGAGGCACACGACCAGCCUGCUCUUCGUAUUUGAUGGGUCAAUGUUCCCAAGAUACAAGCGUUUCGAACAGUUGGUGAAGCUGGUCAUCCAUCUCCGCGGGGAAUCGCCUCUUGUCACGUGCAAGAUCGAUGCAUAUCCCGACGAUGACCCCGAGCACACUUUCACAAACACCAAGCUGUUGAUUGAUUACGCACUGGUGUGCAAAGCUGAGGAGCUAGUAGUAAGAGCUGCAGACAUUCGGUAUGACAUACCAAUGUUUGAUGUGCCUCUCAAUCUCAUCUCCCAACACUUGAAGACCUUGCACCUUGAACGGGUCAACCUCGACCACUCUGAUUUGAAGUUCUCAGGGUGCCCGGUGUUAGAGGAUCUAAGUAUCCAACUUUGCAGCAUUCGUGCAGGCGAAAUAUCAUCCAUGUCACUAAAGCGUCUAUCCAUCACCAACGUUUGUUAUUUACGUCACGAUGUGCGCAUUCGGAUUUGUGCCCCGGGUCUCAUCUCACUACAACUAGAUGAUUUCGAAGGAUUGACUCCUUGCCUUGAAAACAUGCCAUUGCUAGAAACAGCUUAUGUUGGGCUUGGCGAUGGAUGCUAUGAUUUUUGUCGCGAUGGCCAGGCGGACUGUAAUUACCCUUACUGUGGUUGUCAUUUUUAUCCUGUCAACAAUGGGGUGCUUCUCGGUGGUUUGUCCAAUGUUGGCAAGUUGGAGUUGAUAGCUGUACCUAAAAUGUUUAUCUACAAAUGGGAUUUAGAGGGCUGCCCAAUAUUUUGCAAAUUAAGGACUCUGUUACUCAAUGAGUGGUUCACAACUAUUGGCCUAGUUUGCAUUCUCCAGCAUUCUCCACUUCUUGAGAUGCUCACUCUCCGGCUUGGUAAUACGGAGAGCCUCACAGGAGAAAUGGGGAUCCAAGAAAUGAUCCAAAAAUCAUUUGUGUCUGCGCACCUCAAGGUUGUCAACAUCGAGUGUAAAGAGGUUGAUGAGGGAAUUCACAAAAUUUUGAAGAUCUUGAGGAUAGGUGGCAUACUUCGCGAUCAUAUUUGCAUCAAG